This 7638-nucleotide long non-coding RNA is filed under the name Brassica napus (rape). RNAcentral's name for it is "long non-coding RNA (BNAP_LNC017084)". Lineage: Eukaryota; Viridiplantae; Streptophyta; Magnoliopsida; Brassicales; Brassicaceae. The record is from RNAcentral.
UAUCUUCUUCUUUCUUUCAUAACUUCGUUUUUCAUAAACACUUCCACUUCUCCUUGUUUCAUUCCUUUAAAUUUCUUUUUAAAAAUGGCAUCUUCUUCCCAUUAUCAUUACCAUAGAGGAGGUGAUGAUAAUGCAUUUGAAGGCGUAUUUGAUGAUAUAUUUGAAGAUCUCGAAGCUAUUCCCGAACCAAAAGAGCGAAAAAAACGUAUUUUUAUCGAGAGAAAUCGGGAAGAAGGCCACAACAACCUUUGGAAUGAUUAUUUUAGCGACACUCCAACAUAUCCGCACAAUUUGUUCCGCCGACGAUUUCGAAUGAACAAGUCAUUGUUCUUAUAUAUUGUGCAUCGUCUCUCUACUGAAGUUGAGUAUUUUAAACCCAAAGAAGAUGCAACCGGACGGUCUGGUUUAUCGCCUCUCCAGAAAUGUACCGCAGCAAUUCGUCAAUUGGCGUAUGGUGGUGGAGCUGAUCCCGUAGACGAAUAUAUACGACUUGCUGAAACAACAUCUCGUAAAUGUUUGCACGAAUUUACCGCCGGAAUAAUCCACUUGUUUGCCGAUGAAUACCUCAGACGUCCCACAGUGGAGGAUCUUCGGAGACUACUCCAUGAGGGUGAAGAACGGGGAUUUCCCGGAAUGAUUGGAAGCAUCGACUGUAUGCAUUGGGAGUGGAAGAAUUGCCCCACUGCCUGGAAAGGAAUGUAUUCACGAGGAACCGGAAAACCAACAAUUGUGUUGGAGGCCGUUGCUUCAUAUGACCUCUGGAUAUGGCACGCUUUCUUUGGCGCUCCAGGUACUUUGAACGAUCUUAAUAUUCUGGAUAGAUCACCUGUUUUUGAUGAAAUUAUUAACGGGAAAGCUCCCCAAGUAAACUACUAUGUCAACGGAAGGGAAUACAAUUUGGCGUAUUAUCUGACGGAUGGUAUCUAUCCAAAAUGGGCGACUUUUAUUCAGUCUAUACGACUGCCACAGGGUGCAAAAAAUUCUUUAUUUGCUACGCGUCAAGAAUCCGUUCGAAAAGAUGUCGAGCGGGCCUUUGGGGUCCUCCAAGCUAGGUUCGCCGUUGUUAGAAAUCCUUCUAAUCUAUGGGAUAAAAACAAAAUAUCGAAUAUUAUGCGAGCAUGUCUCAUACUCCAUAAUAUGAUUGUCCAAGAUGAACGGAAUUCAGAUACUCUUGAAGAAUUUCAAGAUGACGAUUUUACUUUUACCGUCAAAAAGGCUAAAAAACCCGGCAAUAUAAUUGCUCGUCGUAAAGAAGUUCGGGAUCCACAUAUCCAUCAACAAUUAAAAGAAGAUUUGAUUGAACAUAUAUGGGAUAAAUUUGGACAUCUUCCAAAUUACAUAUAAUGUGUUUUUGCUUUCUAUGAUUUAAAUAAAAUGUUUCUCUUAUUUUAUUUAUGCAUUUUGUAAUUUUUUUCCACUCCUUUGUAUUUUAAUUUUCAUGUUCUACGUAUUUUAAUUUUCAACUUUUCUUUAUAAUGUCAUAAGUUAUUCGAUAAUUUAUCUUCAAUUAAUAAAAAAAAAAUUAAUUCACUAAGGGACUUUCAUAAGUCCCACCAAUAAUCUAAUUUCUAAAGGAAAAUCCCUAAAUAUGACCUUAACUCACAAAUAACCUUAAAAUAUUCUAAGGGCCAAAAAAUCAAGACCCACCUAUAAUGUUGCUCUUAGGUUUCUCUUCGCUCUGUUUCCUCUCCGACAUCGAUUCAGUCCACCUCCGAACAGUUUCCUUUGGACAUCGAUUCAGAGUCGACCCAAACUUGGGAAGGUAUGUGUCUAACCUCCUUUGUAAUUUUGAGAAACCGAGUAGGGGUGUGUAGAUUCAAUGGUUGUUUGUUGAUUAUAUGUUUGAUUUGAUUAAAUGAUUGAUUUGAUUCGCUCUUCUUGUUCGUUGUUUGAUAUGCUCCGCUCUUGUGAUUGAAGUGGUUGUGAACGGAAUAGAUAUAUAAAAAUGUAUUGAUUCGUUGGUUCUUUGAUGCUUGCAAAAACUUUAAGAUUGAAUGGCUGUGAAUGAAAACUCGUAUAGAUUGAUCGAUAAUUCGUAUAGCUUCUAAGCUCGGGUCUUCUGUAUAUAUUUGAUGUAAUGGUUGUUUCAUAAUUAAUAUUCGUAUAGCUUUAUUGAAAAUUCGUAUAGCUUCUCUACCUUUCAAAAUCGGAUAGGUUGAUAGAAUUCUUUGGUCUGUUAUCAGUUAAAAUUUGAAGUAUUUUAAACAACUUAGAAUUAUGGUUUACAUCUCUUCACUCUUUACUCAACUAGAGUGACACCUCCUUAAUUUCACUCUUUACUCUAGUAGACUCACACUUCUUUACGUCUUUACUGAACUAGACAAACUAGUUCUACUGUCGUCGUUACUUGAAACCGUAGAUAGGUUAGUAAUAAGUUCAGAUUAGACAUAUAUGGUUUAUGGUUAGUCUUUAUGUAGAAACUUAAUACUCUUCACCAGCUAAUAUUAAACUCCCAUCUCAAUCCCCUUAAAUAUACACACCUGCCUUCUCUCUUCUAUCCAUCUCCUAAUCUACAACUCUCUCUCAAAUAUUUAUCUUGUAAAAGUCGUAUGGGUUCAAGAAAUUUUCAAAGUCAGUCCUCUAGUUACGUAGGACUGCUUAACAGUCAACAAGGAAGUCGUGUGAAUGAAAACUUUCCAUAUGAAAGUUUUCAUUCAACUGUCAACUUUGGAGAAUCGGAGAUCCCUCCCUUUAGUUCACAACAAGCUGAACAGACGCCAGUAGACACAUCAGUGGACCGUAAUGCUAGACGCAAAUGGGGCCCAGCUGAUGACGCGGUUCUAAUCUCUGCUUGGCUUAACACUUCGAAGGAUGCCGUUGUUGGAAAUGAGCAGAAGUUGGGGGCCUUCUGGAAACGGGUUGGAGAUUAUUAUGCUGCAAGUCCUCAUGGGCAACAGGAGGGUGAAAAGAGAGGGGAUCUUACUUGUAAGAAGAGAUGGCACAGAAUAAACGAUCAAGUUACAAAGUUCUGUGGGGCUUACUCCGCGGCAGAGAGACAAAUUGGGAGUGGUGAGAGUGACACUGAUGUUCUAAAGAAGGCUCACGACAUCUUCUACUCAGAUCAGCAAAGCAAGUUUACACUUGAGCAUGCUUCGUGCGUGUUGCGCUUUGAACAAAAAUGGCUUAGCCUCAACCCUCCUAAAGCCACUCACACUUCGAAGAGGAAGGAUGGUGAGACAGAUACAAGCGCCGCUGUCCCUGAUCACGAAAUCCGGCCUGAAGGUUGCAAGGCGGCUAAACAAAAAAGGUCGACUGUUCAAGGCAAGUCUGUUGCUGAGUAUACAACCAUAUGGGAAAUGAAGAAAGAGGAUUUGGCUACGCAGGAGAGACUGUCCAAGCUAGCUAUACUUGACACUCUCCUUGCGAGGAAAGAACCAUUAAGUGAGGCGGAGGAGGUUGUGAAGAAUAAGUUGCUAGCCAAGUAUUUCUGAAAGAUUAGGAUCUAAUCUUAUAAGUCUCUGUUUUAAAAUCCAUGUUUUAGUUCUCUGUUAUAAUGUAGUUCAUGCGGCUCUUAUUAAUAAUAACAAUGUCUUUUUUAUGUUCUUUCUGGUCUUCUCUUGCGGGUCUUGUUUAUAUGUCGUCUGCAACCACAAAAAUUACUAUGUGUAUCUAAUAAUUACUUGCGUGUUUUGCUUAUAUGUCGUCGAGUAUUUAAUAAUCAAUAUGUGUUUAUGCAGGUAGACAUAAACAUGGGACUCCACAGCUACAGCCAGCCUUCGCAGUCUGACGAUAUAUUUUGCAACUCAGAGGACGGUAGCUUCAGCGAGAUGGAAGAUCUCAUUCGACGUGACCAAGCUGAGUUAAGCUUACACGCUAGUUCACAGGUUCAGUAUCCUCCUCAACCAGAGGUUGAGUUUGGCAUCCCACAAACUUGUUACUGCGGUGCUAAGCCUCUCCUUGCAACAUCUCGGACUGAUCCAGGUUAAGUAAAAUCUCGUCUAGUCUUGUAAAGGGUAAUCACCUCCUGAUAUACUGUCUUCUUCAUAGUCUUGCGUGUGUGAAGAGAGGGAGAUGUAAACGAAGUCGAUGAAACCUACUCCGUGUGUUUCUCCUCUCUUGUCGAAACUCAAGCGAAUUCGAUUCACCGCUGUCGAUCUGAUUCGCCUUAAUCCGCUUCUCCUCGAUCCAUUUCUCUUCGCUCUGUUUCCUCUCGCUCUUUUUCUCGUCGAUUGUUCGUUCCUUUAGACAUCGAUUCACUCCACCUCCGUCGGUUCCUUUCGACAUCGUUUCACUCCACCUCUGUCGGUUCCUUUCGACAUCGAUUCAGUCCACCUCUGAACCGGUUCCUUUCGACAUCGAUUCAGAGUCGACCCAAACUUGGGAAGGUAUGUGUCUAACCUCCUUUGUAAUUUUGAGAAACCGAGUAGGGGUGUGUAGAUUCAAUGGUUGUUUGUUGUUUGGUUGUUUGUUGAUUAAAUGAUUGAUUUGAUUCGCUCUUCUCGUUCGUUGUUUGAUAUGCUCCGCUCUUGUGAUUGAAGUGGUUGUGAACGGAAUAGAUAUAUAAAAAUGUAUUGAUUCGUUGGUUCUUUGAUGCUUGCAAAAACUUUAAGAUUGAAUGGCUGUGAAUGAAAACUCGUAUAGAUUGAUCGAUAAUUCGUAUAGCUUCUAAGCUCGGGUCUUCUGUAUAUAUUUGAUGUAAUGGUUGUUUCAUAAUUAAUAUUCGUAUAGCUUUAUUGAAAAUUCGUAUAGCUUCUCUACCUUUCAAAAUCGGAUAGGUUGAUAGAAUUCUUUGGUCUGUUAUCAGUUAAAAUUUGAAGUAUUUUAAACAACUUAGAAUUAUGGUUUACAUCUCUUCACUCUUUACUCAACUAGAGUGACACCUCCUUAAUUUCACUCUUUACUCUAGUAGACUCACACUUCUUUACGUCUUUACUGAACUAGACAAACUAGUUCUACUGUCGUCGUUACUUGAAACCGUAGAUAGGUUAGUAAUAAGUUCAGAUUAGACAUAUAUGGUUUAUGGUUAGUCUUUAUGUAGAAACUUAAUACUCUUCACCAGCUAAUAUUAAACUCCCAUCUCAAUCCCCUUAAAUAUACACACUUGCCUUCUCUCUUCUAUCAUCUUCUAAUCUACAACUCUCUCUCAAAUAUUUAUCUUGUAAAACUCGUAUGGGUUCAAGAAAUUUUCAAAGUCAGUCCUCUAGUUAUGUAGGACUGCUUAACGGUCAACAAGGAAGUCGUGUCGAUGAAACUAGUGGAGAAUCGAAGAUCCCUCCCUUUAGUUCACAACAAGCUGAACAGACGCCAGUAGACACACCAGUGGACCGUAAUGCUAGACGCAAAUGGAGCCCAGCUGAUGACGCGGUUCUAAUCUCUGCUUGGCUUAACACUUCGAAGGAUGCCGUUGUUGGAAAUGAGCAGAAGUUGGGGGCAUUCUGGAAACGGGUUGGAGAUUAUUAUGCUGCAAGUCCUCAUGGGCAACAGGAGGGUGAAAAGAGAGGGGAUCUUACUUGUAAGAAGAGAUGGCACAGAAUAAACGAUCAAGUUACAAAGUUCUGUGGGGCUUACUCCGCGGCAGAGAGACAAAUUGGGAGUGGUGAGAGUGACACUGAUGUUCUAAAGAAGGCUCACGACAUCUUCUACUCAGAUCAGCAAAGCAAGUUUACACUUGAGCAUGCUUGGUGCGUGUUGCGCUUUGAACAAAAAUGGCUUAGCCUCAACCCUCCUAAAGCCACUCACACUUCGAAGAGGAAGGAUGGUGAGACAGAUACAAGCGCCGCUGUCCCUGAUCACGAAAUCCGGCCUGAAGGUUGCAAGGCGGCUAAACAAAAAAGGUCGACUGUUCAAGGCAAGUCUGUUGCUGAGUAUACAACCAUAUGGGAAAUGAAGAAAGAGGAUUUGGCUACACAGGAGAGACUGUCCAAGCUAGCUAUACUUGACACUCUCCUUGCGAAGAAAGAACCAUUAAGUGAGGCGGAGGAGGUUGUGAAGAAUAAGCUGCUAGCCAAGUAUUUCUGAAAGAUUAGGAUAUAAUCUUAUAAGUCUCUGUUUUAAAAUCCAUGUUUUAGUUCUCUGUUAUAAUGUAGUUCAUGCGGCUCUUAAUAAUAACAAUGUCUUUUUUAUGUUCUUUCUGGUCUUCUCUUGCGGGUCUUGUUUAUAUGUCGUCUGCAACCACAAAAAUUACUAUGUGUAUCUAAUAAUUACUUGCGUGUUUUGCUUAUAUGUCGUCGAGUAUUUAAUAAUCAAUAUGUGUUUAUGCAGGUAGACGUAAACAUGGGACUCCACAGCUACAGCCAGCCUUCGCAGUCUGACGAUAUAUUUUGCAACUCAGAGGACGGUAGCUACAGCGAGAUGGAAGAUCUCAUUCGACGUCACCAAGCUGAGUUAAGCUUACACGCUAGUUCACAGGUUCAGUAUCCUCCUCAACCAGAGGUUGAGUUUGGCAUCCAACAAACUUGCUACUGCGUUGCUAAGCCUCUCCUUGCAACAUCUCGGAAUGAUCCAGGUUAAGUAAAAUCUCAUAUAGUCUUGUAAAGGGUAAUCACCUCCUGAUAUACUGUCUUCCUCAUAGUCUUGCGUGUGUUCACCACAGGUAGAAGAUACUACACAUGUGAGAACGUGGACGAUGGAGAGUGCCAUGUUUGGAAAUGGUGGGAUGAAGCCAUGAUGGAAGAGAUGAGAUCCCGAGAACCACAUGUGAUUCAGCUAGAGGAAAAGGUGGACACUCUUACACUUUGCAGUGACAUCGAGACUGACCAGAGACUGGCUAGAGUUGAGAAAAUUGUGGGUGAUAUAGGAAAGGAACAAUCCAAGCUUAGGCUGGGAUUUGAGUACUUUGUAAGUGCAAUGAUUGUGGUGACAGUUUUACUUGGAAUUGUGCUGAUGGUUAAGUAAAUGAAGAUGGUGUUGUAUCUGAUGUACUGUAAUGGACUUCGAACUAUAUGUAAUAUGAUGUAUUGACUUUGACUGCUCUCAAUCGUAUUAUGUAUUGUAAUGUAUCAGACUUUAUAAUGUAGGUGUUUUCUAAUGUAGAUUUGCAUGGCCACAGAAACAAGUAUCAGACUUUAUAAUGUAGGUAUUUUCUAAUGUAAAUACUCAAGAUAGAUUUGCAUGGCCACAGAAACAAGUAGCGUUGAAUUCAAAUAUACAAUUAUAUCAGAACAUGUACUUUCCAUUGUUUGUUUGUAUCACGGGAAAGAAAGCUUUAAGUCACAAGAUGAGAUGAGAGUCACGAGAUGAACUAAAGACCAAUUAUAAAUAAGACACUUCUUCUUUCAUAAACACUUGUACUUCUCCUUACAUUCAUAUCUUUUUCUUUCUUUCAUAACUUCUUUUUUCAUAAACACUUCCACUUCUUCUUGUUUCAUUCCUUUAAAUUUCUUUUUAAAAAUGGCAUCUUCUUCCCAUUAUCAUUACCAUAGAGGUGAUGAUAAUGCAUUUGAGACCGUAUUUGAUGAUAUAUUUGAAGAUCUCGAAGCUAUUCCCGAACCAAAAGAGCGAAAAAACGUAUUUUUAUCGAGAGAAACCGGGAAGAAGGCCACAACAACCUUUGGAAUGAUUAUUUUAGCGACACUCCAACAUAUCCGCACAAUUUGUUCCGCCGACGAUUUCGAAUGAACAAGUCAUUGUUCUUAUAUAUUGUGCAUCGUCUCUCUACUGAAGUUGAGUAUUUUAAACCCAAAGAAGAUGCAACCGGAC